GUUUGGCACUCGAACAUCUGGCGGCAGAGGAGCCACAUCACACCUGCGCCUCUGCUUUCCUGCCAUGUGGUCUCCUACUAAGCUUCUAGACGUUUACAGUCCCAACAUCAGCCUCACAUCUUUGCUGCUUAACUUUACACACCCGCAUCCACACACCGCUAUAACACACUUGUAUAAUAUGUGUAUAGUUUGUUGAAAUAUUUGAAAUUUGGAUUUCAUUAAUAAGCUUGUUAUUUUUACACUGCUUACAUUUAAUAAUUAGGUUUUAGAGGUUUGACUCCUGUUGAUGAAUAUUACGUGAAUACGCGUUUGAGGGCAUCAAACCAAAGUGAAACUUGCACCUACCACAAAACAACAGUGAUUCACAUUUACACAAACAUGAAUGAUGCACAAAUUGUUUUCUUUUCCAUUUGCAGUUUUCUUUUUGAAUUAAUAACUCUAUUGGCCCCAGUUUGUCUCCCUCUUUGUCCACCAGUCAUGUUAUUUACUGGUGGAGUGAAACCUCACUGGAGCCAGCAUUGCUCUGACUGAAGAUCUACGUGAAGAAAAAACAAGACUUAUGAUUUUGUAGCCGUUUUUUAUGUGUGACCAAAAAGGUCAUCAGUGUUUAAAAAACAUGUAACUUCUACAUACACGACAAAACACAAUAUUUAAAAAAUACAAAGAAAAAGAAACAGUUCUGACAAAAGUCAUGCCAGCAUCUGUAACACAGCCAAAAGGAUCAGCAACUGAAAAAAACGCCUAAAAUGUACAAAAAUGACCGAGGCUGUUUAUGAAGCCAUUUGAUCCUUUAUGUUCUGUAGGUCGCGGUUGUUUUAAGUCGUUGUCAGGCAACAAUCGAGAUGAGAGAGAACAGAGGCUCUGGUGAUGCAGGCAUCCGCUGCAGGGAGACACGGACGGACAGGAAGUCCGAAAGACAGACAGACAGACAGACAGACAGACCGGGGGGCUGGGGUACCUGUAGCCUCACAAAGCGUCCUAUUCUGCCGCAUAUCUCCGUUCACCCGGGUCCAAGUUUACUUCACUUACCGAUAACGAACCUCCGUUCUCCAUCUUCUCCGUUCUCCAAUUCACACAAAGCAUUUAAGGGAGAAGUUCCCGCUGCUCUGCCGCCGCCGCCGCCGCUGCCUUCGUACUCCGCUGUCGCCUUCACUGCCCGUCGGAAAUGUUGUCACAGCCUAUGAAUUCAGCGUUCACCAACAGGUGAACAGGUUCAGGUCCGGGUCCGGCAGACUAACGGUGCACCCAAGAACCCACCAGGAGCUGGUGAAGAUGAAGGUUGGAACUCAUCCCGAGCCAUGAUGUCAUGUCCACUGUGCCUCACAGGCGAGUUUGUAUGUUGGAGGUCAGGAUCUGUUCACAGUGGGCACCGUGUUCACAGGAUCACAUAUAUGAUACACAAAAAUAUGACAAUUAC
This is a long non-coding RNA of Betta splendens (Siamese fighting fish), 1417 nucleotides long. RefSeq lists it as uncharacterized. Lineage: Eukaryota; Metazoa; Chordata; Actinopteri; Anabantiformes; Osphronemidae. The transcript has 3 exons. The record is from RefSeq and is a predicted model, not a curated record.